UGAUUGAAACAUGCUCAUAAAACUCCCUUGCAUAGGCGGCAAAAAUCUAUCGAAAGACUCGAACAUAGAAUCGGAACCAGGAGACGAUGACUCGUUGUAAGAGUCCAUCAAAGGGACUAAAGAUCUUGGCUCAUCUACAGUUCUUUGGUCGAGAAUUUCAGGAGAGUUAUCAACACCAUUAAAGUCCAUAAAUCGAGCAGCGUCGGAGUCUUUUCCGGUGAGUUCUUGCACAAGAGCCCUAAAUUUUGAGGCACUAGUCUCAACUUUCAUAGGGCUAGAUAUGUAGACAACUUUGAUACCCUUUUUAGUACUUCUUCUCCUGGCUUGUUUCUUGCCCUUCAUGUUAACACCAAGUACAUCCAUGACCAGAAAAAGAAAUCUAAGCAGAACCCAGAAAUGAUCGUUUGCUAAUUGUGUCGUGUAGUACUGAUGAGCCUUU
This 439-nucleotide unclassified non-coding RNA is filed under the name Hevea brasiliensis (rubber tree). The record is from RNAcentral. Lineage: Eukaryota; Viridiplantae; Streptophyta; Magnoliopsida; Malpighiales; Euphorbiaceae.